CAGCAACAAAUUAUGAUGUAGGUUCCACCACUUGGGUAGACCUUAGGAUAGCACCCCUCCUAAGUGCAAUGGAGGUCACUCCCCUAGGCCAUGGUCCUUCAUGAUCAACCAUUGACCCCAUCCAGGUAAGUACCUUACAAUGAAGGUAUUCAAGUUCUUUUAUACUCUUGCUUAUUCCAAUACCUUUCACCUUCUCUCAAUGUGGGAGUCAACUAUCAGUAGGCAAUAUAUUUCCCAACUUAUGUAAGAUUGAUCGAUAAAAGGGUGCAUGCUGGUACUGAUUGUUGGUGGUGUAUCUUGGAGCCGGAGACAGUAGAACAUAUGUUGCUGCAGUGUAAUAAGAGCAUUCAGACUAUUGCUAAAUAGGAUCAUUGGAGAGAAUUGUUAUCAUAUAUUAAAUGCCCUGAGAAAAGGAGUAUCUUUGAAUCUAGUAUUUCCCUUGGGUCAAUGAAAUGAUUUCCAUUCGAUAACAGUAGUAACCAUGAAACAACCGAGUAUCAUGCAUUGCCAUGCCUUUUAUUGCAGGUUAAUUGGCGACGUCCGUCCAUAUCUUCUGGUCCAAACUGUAUCAUGCGUUGUCAUACCUCUUGUGGCCAUUUUAUUGCUUCCAAUGUACACACAUUCAACGUAUUGGCUAUGGGAUGCAGAUUGCCUGCAGCAUCAAAAUUAAAUAAGUAACAACUCUUGGCAUUUCACCACAUGAACCUUCGUUCUCAAUAAGGAUUAUUGAGAUUGUGCGGCGGUCCAUGAUGACGGUCACCACUAAUAGCAGCGCCGCAUUAAGGAUCCUUUCCAACUUCCCGCUAUCUCGGAACCCUAGCACAAGACUCUCUUUCUUCGAUUUCCUUUUUGCUGUUUGAGAAUUCGAGAAACCUUAUGCUGAAUGUUUCUUGUUUAACUUUAAUUGAGGACUUAAACCCCUAAGUUGUGAUGUUGAUGUGUUGAAACUCACUGAAGAUCCCAGUGGAUUCGACUUGGUUGAUCUGUAUGUGGAGCACGAGGUUGAUAACCCUGACAUAAUAGACGAGGCAGAGGCAUUUCAGGGAGUUGAUGUUGUUGAUGAUCUUAAAGUUAACAAUGAUAAGAAUGAUAAUGUUGUAGUUGAUGAUGAUGGUGAAGUUAACAAUGAUAAGGAGAAUAAUGUUGUAGUUAAUGAUGAUGUUGAAUGGUGGCCUGCCCGCUCCAAGUUGCGAGUUGGCCCAUGGGACUUGUGCGAAGGUACCUGUCUUAUGGGUCUUAGACAGGAGGGUAUAGCGUGAGGCUGGUUUCACAGAGCAGCGAACACUUCCUACUCUUGACAGUGGAAGGAUCACAGGCCGUUGUACCUCCAGUCCACAACACCUGGAUAAGUUCGUUUUUCUUGUGGCACCGACCAUUGAGUUUCACCAAAUUUCUAUGCCUCAAUUGACUUCUGCUGAGUAUUGCUUUAUACCCUGUCAUGAAUCUGCUGAUAUCCUCUUUAUAGCGGCAACUGAGUUUGAACCUUUAAAAUAUCCCUUGUAAACACCACCUUGGCCAAGCUUUUGUGUCUCUUCAAAGUUGUUUGUUGCAUUCAACAGCUCAUAAUAACUCAUCUUCUUAGUCCAACACUCAUUUGGAAUUCAUCAUCCAUAUCCAGAUCAGAUAAGGUCUUCUUCUUCUCUUCCACAAUAAAAUGAUUAACAUUGCUAUUAAACUCAAACUCAAAAAUACAAAACCUACUCUCUGUCCCUCCAAUAAUUUAGUUUUGAUUAAGUUUAUUUUCUUCUCAAAAUAUCUUCAUAAAAAUCAUAAUCUGGUUGGCUUGUACUAAAAGACCAUGACAUCAGCAUAUGUUCCUCAUCUACAGUUCCUGUUGAAGCUGAUAUGCCAACAAUAACAUAUUCUGCUAUACUGCAUCAUUAGUUGGAAGUCAUAUUCAUACUGAUUAAGUCAAAAUGUUCAACAUCAACAAUGUACACCAUAUUCAUAAAGAAGAGAGUGAAAUGGUUUCUUAGGCCUCUAUUACACAGAGCCUUUGGACCACCUCUCCACCCUUCUUUCGCUCAACUGCUGGUAGGAAAUGUAUUUCCCAACUUCUGUAAGAUUGAUCAACAAAAGGGUGCACGCUGGUACUGAUUGUUGGUGGUGUAUCUUGGAGCCGGAGACAGUAGAACAUGUGCUGCUGUAGUGUAAUAAGAGCUUUUAGACUGUUGCUAAAUAGGAACAUUGGAUAGAAAAUCUAUCAUAUAUUAAAUGCAUUGUGAAAGGAGAAAAGGAGUAUCUUUGAAUCUAGUAUUUCUCUUGGAUCAAUGAUUUCCAUUUGAUAGCCGUAGUAACCAACUGGAGUAUCAUGCAUUGUCAUACCUUUUAUUGCAGGUUCUUUGGUGACGUCCGUCCAUAUCUUCUGGUCCAAACUGUAUCAUGCCUUUUCGUACCUCUUAUGGCCAUUUUGUUGCCUCCAAUGUACAUACAUUCCACGCAUAUGGACUGCAGGUUUGGAUAUUAUGAUAUCAUUUGAAUUAGUGUUCCUAUCAACACAAGUAUGAUGUAGCUUGCUAUUAUGUAACAUUAACUAAACUAAGAG
This is a long non-coding RNA of Lathyrus oleraceus (garden pea), 2545 nucleotides long. RefSeq lists it as uncharacterized. The record is from RefSeq and is a predicted model, not a curated record. Lineage: Eukaryota; Viridiplantae; Streptophyta; Magnoliopsida; Fabales; Fabaceae. The transcript is spliced from 4 exons.